This 390-nucleotide long non-coding RNA is filed under the name Chinchilla lanigera (long-tailed chinchilla). RNAcentral describes it as "lncRNA (ENSCLAG00000024928.1)". Lineage: Eukaryota; Metazoa; Chordata; Mammalia; Rodentia; Chinchillidae. The record is from RNAcentral.
UGUGAACAUGACACGUUCUGAAAACUGAAUCAGGAUUCAUUUGACUUUUUGUAUUUCUUUUUUCAGAAGCUUUCACAGGCAAAAUGCCUUUGAAGAUGUUUCUAUAAAGAAUGUGGUUUUCAGAGUCUCCUGAAGUAUGCAGUGCUUUCUGGAAAUGCAUAUCCCUCGUUUCUCUGCCUAACAUGGCAGAGUCAGGUCUUGGCUGCAGACCAGUUUAACAACCGCCAGGUGAUCUGGAUUCAGCUGGAUUAUUCCCUGCCCAUUCCUUGCCGCUCUCUGUCCCUGCCUCCAAAGCCCAUCCUGAACUUCUGCCCUGAACGGUCUCACCCCACCUGGAGCAGAUGGAGAGGCAGAGGGGUGUUCCUGCGCUUGCUGCAGGGCAUGUACUGA